AAACGUAGGGGGCCAGCGUUGUCCGGAAUUACUGGGCGUAAAGAGCGCGUAGGCGGUUUGGUUAGCGGAGGGUGCAAUCCAGAGGCUCAACCUCUGAACUGCUCUCCGAACUGCCAGACUUGAGUACGGGAGAGGGUAGUGGAAUUCCUGGUGUAGCGGUGGAAUGCGUAAAUAUCAGGAGGAACACCCGUGGCGAAGGCUGCUACCUGGAACGUUACUGACGCUGAGGCGCGAAAGCUAGGGGAGCGAACGGGAUUAGAUACCCCGGUAGUCCUAGCCGUAAACGAUGGACACUAGGUGUUGGGGGAUCGACCCCCCCAGUGCUGUUCUGUUAACGCGUUAAGUGUCCCGCCUGGGGAGUACGGUCGCAAGGCUAAA
Molecule: ribosomal RNA, 378 nt
Filed under: uncultured bacterium
Lineage: Bacteria
Description: bacterial SSU rRNA
Rfam family: Bacterial small subunit ribosomal RNA
Source: RNAcentral